This 3652-nucleotide ribosomal RNA is filed under the name Triticum aestivum (bread wheat). RNAcentral describes it as "partial small subunit ribosomal RNA". Lineage: Eukaryota; Viridiplantae; Streptophyta; Magnoliopsida; Poales; Poaceae. The record is from RNAcentral.
CACGAAGUAAGCAGAGAUAAACAGGUACUGAAAGUCUGAAACAAAGUUGGCACUUACGCUCACAAGUCACAGGUGACAAGAGAAGCUCGUGCAGAAAAGUCACCGUGCCAUCCCCCGUAGCCACCUUCCCUGGUUAGCUUACUGUUCAAGAUCACAAGAUUCCCAACUGCGCCGUAGAAAGACGGCUCCGGUGAGACCGACUAAAGCGAACGAUAACAAUAUUUGACUUCACCAGCAUUCAGUGAGAAGUCUGUUGGUUGCAGCACGAGGAUCCCACGUUCAUACCCCAGCACCACAGACAAGUUCGGAUCACAGUAUCACACGCGAUUGCAAAGAAAAGUAACGAACCUGUUGUCAUGCCUGGGCCCACCCGGUGUGUGCCUAUAAAAGCAAGUCAUUGUUAAACAAUAACACAGGAGGCCGGUAAGAGUGAGAGAGAGAUCAUCAUCGUACCUUGACGAUGGCUGAGCCUCUGAAGGCAAACGGCAAUGGAGCUGCCGAAGGGGGUGCUGCGGGCUCUGCGUUUGCAUCGGUGAAGGUGCCGCCGUCGCCGCCAAGGAGGCUGCAGAGGUUCGACUCCCUGCAUAUGGAGGCCGGGAAGAUUCCUGGUGGCCACAGCUAUGCAGCCAAGGUCUGUUCUUCCCUUGCUCUCUUCCUCGGUUCGACAGAUAUCUUCAUUUUCUUACAGUAUAUAAGCAAGGGAACUGCAUCCAUCUCGAUUCCUGUUAUGAUGGGUACUUCCUCUGUUCCUCAUAAAACAGCAAACAAAAAUUCACAAAGAAAGAUAACAGUCUGCACUUGUAACAUUACAGACAGCACAGUUUUGUCAAGGAAGGCUGCUAAAAGUAACUAAUGUUUUAUGAUGUCAUCCCAUCAUGGUAGACUUAUCACUUAUGUGAAGCAACUAAACAUAUCAGCUGCUUUAGCAUCAUGAGUUUGCAUAACCAAACAACCCAACAUAUUAAUUAGCUACUUUAGCAUCUUAUAAGCUUGCAUAAUCAAACAACUAAGCAUAUUAAUAAGCUGCUGUCCUUGAGGUGAAUGUAGUAUUUGCAAUCUGACUGAUUUUGUUCUCUUUCUUACCGCAAAGCAGGUUGGCUGGGCGACGACACUGCACUUGGCCUUCCAGAGCCUAGGUGUGGUUUAUGGGGACAUGGGAACUUCACCCCUCUAUGUGUUCUCCAGCACCUUUACUGGUGGGAUCAAGGACACAGAUGACCUCCUUGGUGUCAUGUCCUUGAUAAUCUAUACUGUACUUCUCCUUCCAUUGAUGAAAUAUUGUUUCAUUGUCUUGAGAGCUAAUGACAACGGCGAUGGCGGAACAUUUGCACUUUAUUCCUUGAUAUCUCGGUAUGCUAGGAUUAGCUUGAUACCAAACCAGCAGGCUGAAGAUGCAACAGUCUCUCACUACAAGUUAGAGUCCCCUACGAAUCGUGUCAAGCGGGCUCAUUGGAUUAAGGAAAAGAUGGAAAACAGCCCGAAAUUUAAGGUCAUACUUUUCCUAGUGACAAUUCUAGCAACAUCAAUGGUUAUUGGUGACGGUGUGCUAACUCCAUGUAUUUCAGUGCUUAGUGCAGUUACGGGAAUCAAGCAAUCAGCAAAGUCGUUAACUCAAGGACAAAUUGCUGGCAUCGCAAUCGGCAUUCUGAUCGCCCUCUUUCUUGUCCAGCGCUUUGGCACAGACAAAGUUGGUUACACAUUUGGCCCAGUAAUCUUUAUAUGGUUCAUCUUAAUUGCCGGCAUUGGAAUUUAUAAUUUGAUCAAACAUGAUACUGGAAUUCUGAAAGCAUUCAACCCACAAUACAUAGUGGAAUAUUUCCAAAGAAAUGGGAAGGACGGCUGGAUUUCGCUUGGAGGUGUUAUCUUAUGCAUUACAGGAACCGAAGCAAUGUUUGCUGACCUUGGUCACUUCAAUGUGAGAGCAAUUCAGAUUGGCUUUUCUGCAGUUCUGCUCCCAUCAGUAUUGCUUGCUUACAUGGGACAGGCUGCAUAUCUUCGCAUCCACCCUGAAGAUGUUGCAGAUACAUUCUACAAAUCAAUCCCAGGUCCAUUAUAUUGGCCAACAUUUGUGGUGGCCGUGGCUGCUGCUAUAAUUGCAAGCCAAGCUAUGAUUUCUGGUGCCUUUGCAAUCAUUGCUCAGUCCCAAGUUCUUGGUUGCUUUCCACGGGUUCGUGUCACUCACACCUCAAAAAAGUAUCAUGGGCAGGUCUACAUCCCUGAGAUCAACUAUGCAUUAAUGAUCUUAUGUGUAGCUGUGACAGCUAUUUUCCAAACUACAGACAAGAUUGGCAAUGCAUAUGGUAUCGCUGUCGUCUUUGUGAUGUUCAUAACAACACUUCUAGUCACACUGGUAAUGGCCAUGAUAUGGAAGACAAGUCUGCUGUGGAUUGCACUCUUUCCAAUAAUAUUUGGCGGCGCAGAGCUCGUGUACUUAUCCUCAGCAUUCUACAAAUUUGUAGAAGGUGGCUACUUGCCACUAGGUUUUGCAGCAAUUUUGAUGCUUAUAAUGGGCACAUGGCACUAUGUUCAUGUUCAUCGGUACAAAUACGAGCUCAAGAACAAAGUGUCAAACAACUAUGUGGCAGAUUUGGCAACAAGGAGAAAUCUUGCUAGGUUGCCAGGAAUAGGCGUUCUGUACUCUGAGCUUGUGCAAGGAAUCCCACCCAUACUGCCCCAUUUGGUAGAAAAAGUACCUUCCAUCCAUUCAGUUCUUGUGAUUACCUCAAUAAAGUACUUACCAAUCAGCAAUAUAGAAACAAAUGAGCGGUUCCUCUUCCGAUACGUGGAGCCAAGAGAAUACAGGGUAUUCCGAUGUGUGGUGCGCUAUGGUUACAACAAUAAAGUAGAAGAUCCAAGAGAGUUCGAGAACUUGCUUAUUGGGAACUUGAAGCAAUUCAUCCAUCAAGAAUCACUCUACAGCGAAAGUAGUCAUUCCCUUGAAGGAGAAGAUAAUGCAUUCGAAGAAUCAGGAGAUGCAAUGGAGCCUUCUAUUGAAGUUCAAGAUGCAAGGUUGCCGAAAAGGUUUUUAGAUGGAAUCACUGCUAGCCCAGUGAACGGGUUAAUGGAUGAGAUAGAGUUUAUUCAGAGAGGGAUGGAUGAUGGUGUUGUCCAUCUGCUGGGAGAAACUAAUGUGGUGGCGGAGCAAAAUGCCGGUUUGGUGAAGAAAAUAAUAGUUGACUACGCCUACAAUUUCAUGAGGAAGAACUUCAGGCAACCAGAGAAGAUCACAUGUGUCCCUCAUAACAGGCUGCUGCGGGUGGGAAUGACAUACGAGAUCUAGAGAGAUGCUCAGUGGAUUGAUCAAAUUGACAAUAGCUUCAGUUUUCUCAGUACCAAGUGCAGAAAGGAUAUGCAGAGGAACAGCCUCCUUGACUGAACAGCAGAGGAUGGAGAGAUUUUAUGCGUACAAGUGGUGAAACUACAGUACAUGCAAUAUGUAUUUACCAUAUAAUAUUUUUUUUGUUAGGGAAAUUCUACUGUAUAAGUGUUUGUUAGCAGUAAGUAUGCAUAGCUGUCAAACCCCUAGUUUGGCCAACUCUUUGCCUUAUUGUGGAAAACUCAAAAUCUUAGUAUGUGCAGUUGUACACAAAGAUUGUAACCUACCGGCAAAAGUUAAACAAAUAAUAAAGUAUGACUUGUGUGCAUUCAUCUC